AUACAUGAAGAACAAAGAUAGAACUGAGUACAUUAAGUGGAUGGGUAUUGUCAAAUCUUACAUUGAGAAGAAGUAAAGAUUAUUUUCUUAUUAUGAUCCAUUAACCCGUGUAUUGGUUAAUGGAACUUUAAACAAGGAUGUCAAUUUGGCUACCUAUACAAAAUCUCACUAGCAUUUGAAGAGGGGAUCUCCAUGGUGGGAAGAAUUGAAGGGCUGCUGAGUUUAAAAGUUGUUUGGAAUUUGGAUCAUUCAGUUUUAUGCCAUGCUCUAUUUAUCUGGGUUCAAACAA
RNAcentral lists this unclassified non-coding RNA (289 nucleotides) under Hevea brasiliensis (rubber tree). Lineage: Eukaryota; Viridiplantae; Streptophyta; Magnoliopsida; Malpighiales; Euphorbiaceae. The record is from RNAcentral.